AAAGCUGUAGGUGAUUUCCUCCGCUUGAUCGUCCGUGAGCAUCAUGUCCGACUGGAAGGCGCCCGGAGUUUCUGUCUGUUCAGAUACUGCGGUACACAAUUGCCAAAGCCGAUCGAUCAAGUCCAAUGGGAAUCAUGUUGGUGGUCCUGGGCGGGGGUUCCAGGCAAGCUAAGUGACACAGCCUACGAACGUCUCGUUGACCACGCCUACCAUCACUCCACAACUACCCAGCCCGGUACAACUACUCCAACGAUUAGUGGUAGAUGCGAGGGAGUUGAAGGAACAUGUGGAGGGUUUUUCUUUGCCGACUCUGGAUGUGUAGCAUCCGUUAAUUAUGGACACGAGGUGUACAAUGACGACAAGGAG
Molecule: long non-coding RNA, 366 nt
Organism: Acanthaster planci (crown-of-thorns starfish)
Lineage: Eukaryota; Metazoa; Echinodermata; Asteroidea; Valvatida; Acanthasteridae
Source: RefSeq, a predicted model, not a curated record